This 359-nucleotide RNase P RNA is filed under the name Tannerellaceae bacterium. RNAcentral describes it as "RNase P RNA component class A". It matches the Rfam family "Bacterial RNase P class A". Rfam says of the family: Ribonuclease P (RNase P) is a ubiquitous endoribonuclease, found in archaea, bacteria and eukarya as well as chloroplasts and mitochondria. The record is from RNAcentral. Lineage: Bacteria; Pseudomonadati; Bacteroidota; Bacteroidia; Bacteroidales; Tannerellaceae.
ACAGCCGGCCGGUCUGCCGCUCGCUACGGCGGGAGGAAAGUCCGGGCAACGCAGGGCGCCAUACUUCCUAACGGGAAGCCGUUCGUGAGGGCGGAGUAGCAUAACAGAGAAUAACCGCCGGACGCUCGUCCGGUAAGGGUGAAAAGGUGAGGUAAGAGCUUACCGGGUUCCGUAGCAAUGCGGAGCGCCGUAUGCCUUAUGGGUUGCAAGGUCACGUAUACCGGCGUUUGAGGGUUGCCCGCCUGAUGCCGGGGGGUAGACUGCUCGAGCGCAUCGGUGACGGUGCGCCAAGAUCAAUGGCAGACACUCUUUCCCGCAAGGGAGGAGUACAGAACCCGGCUUACAGGCCGACUGUCUUU